CCUACGGGCGGCAGCAGUGGGGAAUAUUGCACAAUGGGGGGAACCCUGAUGCAGCGACGCCGCGUGAGUGAAGAAGUAUUUCGGUAUGUAAAGCUCUAUCAGCAGGGAAGAAAAUGACGGUACCUGACUAAGAAGCCCCGGCUAACUACGUGCCAGCACCCGCGGUAAUACGUAGGGGGCAAGCGUUAUCCGGAUUUACUGGGUGUAAAGGGAGCGCAGACGGCUGUGCAAGUCUGGAGUGAAAGGCGGGGGCCCAACCCCCGGACUGCUCUGGAAACUGUAAAGCUUGAGUGCAGGAGAGGUAAGCGGAAUUCCUGGUGUAGCGGUGAAAUGUGUAGAUAUUAGGAGGAACACCAGUGGCGAAGGCGGCUUACUGGACUGCAACUGACGUUGAGGCUCGAAAGCGUGGGGAGCAAACAGGAUUAGAUACCCGAGUAGUC
Molecule: ribosomal RNA, 440 nt
Filed under: uncultured bacterium
Lineage: Bacteria
Description: partial 16S ribosomal RNA
Rfam family: Bacterial small subunit ribosomal RNA
Source: RNAcentral